Molecule: ribosomal RNA, 246 nt
Filed under: uncultured bacterium
Lineage: Bacteria
Description: partial 16S ribosomal RNA
Rfam family: Bacterial small subunit ribosomal RNA
Source: RNAcentral
GCAAGUCGAACGGUAACAGGCCCUUCGGGGUGCUGACGAGUGGCGGACGGGUGAGUAACGCGUAGGAAUCUGCCUUGUAGUGGGGGAUAGCCCGGGGAAACCCGGAUUAAUACCGCAUACGCUCUACGGAGGAAAGUGGGGGAUCUUCGGACCUCACGCUAUGAGAUGAGCCUACGUCCGAUUAGCUAGUUGGUGGGGUAAGAGCCUACCAAGGCGACGAUCGGUAGCUGGUCUGAGAGGAUGAUC